Monodelphis domestica (gray short-tailed opossum) is the source of this 7527-nucleotide non-coding RNA. The record is from RefSeq and is a predicted model, not a curated record. Lineage: Eukaryota; Metazoa; Chordata; Mammalia; Didelphimorphia; Didelphidae.
CCUUUUAAUCAUUUUUAAAUGUUCUGUAUGGCAUAAACACACAUUUAAGGAAAGAAUUGACAUAAAAGUGGUUUUGCAGGUGAGUCAAGUGUCGAUUAGACAAAUUCAAGGCAGUCCUUUUCAAAUGGUUAAAUCUGUUUUUCUAAAAUAUAGUCAGUGUGAGGUAUCUUAAGUGAAAACUACUUAAAGGAAUUAGAUAUCAAAAAGCUUUAAACAUGGCUUAUUUUUGUUGUAUGUUUUCCCUCUAGACACUUUUUAAAGGUGACUCCUUCACAUUCUAACUUAAUUUGCUUUUAUCCUUAUGAUGAUACUGACAAUUUGCUGAGUGUGUACCACUCAGCAUUCUACUGGUGCUCUAUCCUUGAUUCUUGGCCUUUGGCAUUCAUUGUCCCAGAAAUUCUAAGACAACCUCACAAUCACCAACCACGCUAUGGUCAGCCAUUACCUAUAAUAGCCAGGUAGUCAUCCUCAGGGUUCUAUUUUCUGGCUUUCUGUUUUUAUUCUCCAUCUUUCAUCUUUGGAAGCCAUAGUGUGAAUGCCACGAAGGAAAGGAACUGCUUAACAACCAUGUACAAUGUUAAUUCUUCUGGGGCAUUUCUUAUUGGCAAUUUUUCCUAUGAAAGUCUCUUAAUACCUAGAAGAUCAAGUUUUACUUUUAUGGUAAGGGUAGACAAAAAAGGUAAAGAAUCUCUGUCAUAAUAUAUGUGCUUCAAGGAAUCAUUGGAUUGAUUGGUGACCCUUUUAAAAAGUUGGUGAAUGAGAUCAUCCCUCAGCUUGAUAUGUGAUAGGUUGGCUUCACCCUUUAUAGAGAGAGCCUGUGCUGUCCAGAAGUGAUUUAUGUCGUCGUAGCUGUUUUGCACAGUUCAGCUGAAAUUUUCUUCAUGUUGAUCAAGACUGGGUUUCCAAGCUUAAAGUGCAGAAGCCACUCAGUUCCAUCUCAUUGAUGAUCAUCACAGAUUUGACCAAUUCUGUUUCUGGCCUGGAUUGGUUAGUCCUUCCUUAGGAGGCCUGCUGGCCAUCUGCUCCUAGGAUCUCACCAUAUUGCUGCCAGGCUUAGUGAAGACCCCUGAUUGGCUUUGCCUUACUGCAGCUCAAAACUCCAGAGUUUAAUCCAUACAGCAGUUUCAGCUUCCCUUAGUAGCAAGGAUUCCUACCAUAUGCCACCAUGCUCAGAGCAAACUGUUUCUCUAUAUUAAUUAAAUUCACUAAUCACUGCUCACAACUCUUCUCCAUCCUUAAGCCAGGUGAACCUGCCUUGUGAAAGGCUACAUGUAUAGUAAAUAGAUCACAGUCCUUGGAUUUAGAAAUAUCUGAGGGACCUUGGGUAACUCAGUUAAUGUCUCAAUACCUCUGAGAAGCCUUCAAAACUACUAAAAAAACAAACAAACUAACAACUGAAUAUUGUUGAUCUACAUAAGUUUCCACACUGGAAGCCAAUGUAUUGUUAUUAUACAAAGGUUUCCAUACCAGGAUCUGCACUAUUGAAAUAAAAAGACUAUUUAUGUAGACCUGGAUGGAACCUUAGAUAUCAUUUAUUUUUAUCACCACCCCUCAUUUUACUCAUGAAGAAAAUGAAGCCCAGAAUCCCUCUGUGUGGGGAAUUUCUUCUCUUCUCUUUCUUUAUCUAACAUCCCUACUGCUGCUGUCAUCUUCUCUUCUCUCCCCUUUUUCUCUCCACCAUUCUCUCUUUCCCCCUCUCUCACUUUCCCUCCUCUCUCUUUUCUCUCUUCCCUAUUCUCCACCACUCUUCCCUCACCUAUCUUUCCCUCCUCCCUCUUCCUCCUCUCUCUUUCCUCUCUCCCAUACCCUCCACCACUCCUUCCUCUCCUAUCUUUCCCUCCUCCCUCUUCCUCUUCUCUCUUGUCUCUCCUCUACUCUCCACCACUUUUUCCUCUCCUAUCUUUCCCUCCUCCCUCUUCCUCCUCUCUCUUUCCUCUCUCUCCCCUACUCUCCACCACUUUUUCCUCUCCUAUCUUUCCCUCCUCCCUCUUCCUCCUCUCUCUUUCUUCUCUCUCCCCUACUCUCCACCACUUUUUCUUCUCCUAUCUUUCCCUCCUCCCUCUUCCUCCUCUCUCUUUCCUCUCUCCCAUACCCUCCACCACUCUUUCCUCUCCUAUAUUUCCCUCCUCCCUCUUCCUCCUCUCUCUUGUCUCUCCUCUACUCUCCACCAUUUUUUCCUCUCCUAUCUUUCCCUCCUCCCUCUUCCUCCUCUCUCUUUCUUCUCUCUCCCCUACUCUCCACCACUUUUUCUUCUCCUAUCUUUCCCUCCUCCCUCUUCCUCCUCUCUCUUUCCUCUCUCCCAUACCCUCCACCACUCUUUCCUCUCCUAUAUUUCCCUCCUCCCUCUUCCUCCUCUCUCUUGUCUCUCCUCUACUCUCCACCACUUUUUCCUCUCCUAUCUUUCCCUCCUCCCUCUUCCUCCUCUCUCUCCCCUACUCUUCACCAUUUUUCCUCUCCUAUCUUUCCCUCCUCCCUCUUCCUCCUCUCUCUUGUCUCUCCUCUACUCUCUACCACUUUUUCCUCUCCUAUCUUUCAUUCCUCCCUCUUCCUGCCCUUUCUUCCCAAAUCUCUCUCUCCAGUAUUCUCUCUUCUCUUUCCUUUCUCCCCCCUCCUUCACCCAUUUUUAACAGUGAAUUAGUGAAAUAGGAAUUUCUUUCAUGCUGAUGAAACCACAGGUAUGAACACAAACAAACAAAAAGUUGCCCAUAACUGUGUUAGAUGCUGUAGAGGGCCCAGAAAGAAACAAAGGACAUGGCUUCUCCAUUCAAGGAAUGGCAAAAUAACCUUCCUAGAAUGUGCUAUCCUACAGUGAACACAGUCAGAUUACAGACUCCAUUGCACAGAUAACACUGAGUCCAUGUAGGUAGAUAUCAAGAAGGAGAAUCAUUCCCUUGAAAAUCAAGAGAAUUUGUGAAGUAUAAUAAGCAUUUCACAAGUUGGUACAGGUUCUUAUCAGACAGGUUAAAGAUUUUUUGCAAAAUGAAGACUUUUGCAUGCUGGGUUGUGAACUAUCACGGUAGGCACCUACUUUGGCAGCCUCUUGCAAAAUGAUGGAUGGAUAGUCAGCAUAUAAGAGCAUGCUUCAGCAGAGUGAAGCUCAGUUUUCACAGCUGGUACUUUUUGAUUCAUUGGAUAAAAGUUUGCUUAAAACAUAGUAGGCUAUGUGUCUCCCCCCAAAUCUCACAUCAUGUCAUAGUAAAAAUGCUAUAUUUUUCCAUUGUAUAUACACUGACUUACAUAUGCAUUUUUACUUUCAUUUAAGAGACUCUCUGUCUAAACUAAAGCCAAAUUUAAUGGACUUGGUAGAAUUAGACCCUUAAGUUUUCUUUACAAAGGCCUUAAAGUUAUAUGCGUAGAUAUUUGAAGAUAAUGUGUUAUAUUACAUUGUUUCUUUUUGUCCUCCUUAUGAUCUCUGUCAGUUACACCUAAACAAAUUAAUCCAAGGGGAAAAAAAAUCUUCUCCCUUUGUUUCAUAGGCAGGACAUGAGAGACUGGAUUUGUGAUUACAUUCUCUUAGGAACUUAAGGAACCUCCCAAAUUAAUUCAGCCUGGUACUUUCUGUACCACUCAUAAUCUUAAGAGCUAACAUAGCAAUGAAAUGUAAAAUAGUGUGCUAAGUCACAGAAGUGGCACUUGAAGGGCCAGCCAAGCCUAGAAUUGGGAGGACCUGGGCUCAAAUGAGACUUCAGAUACUUCCUAGCUGUGUGACCCUGGGCAAGUCACUUAAUCCCAUAUGUCUAGUCCUUACUGCUCUUCUGCCUUGAAACUGAAACUUGUAUUGAUUCUAAGACAGAAGAUAAAAGGGGCCCUUGAAUUCAAGUCUUUCUGGUUUUGAGACUAUCUCUCUUUCUACCAUUCUCCAUUUAUACAGUUUUAUUGUCCCCUUCUUUCACUUUAUCAUAAAGGAAGAAAUUAUCCAAAAUGCAGAGGCAGAAAGGACCAGAGAAUUUCCCUAUUAUAAACUCUUUAUUUUACAGAAGAGUAACAUAAGGUCCAGAGAGCUUAAACAUCUUACCCAAGAUCAUCCUGCGGAGUAAGAUGCUCUUUCAAAUGUGCCCCACCGCUUCAUUCCCAGUUCUCUCUUUGCUUUGACUCAGUCUUUGACACUUUUGACUCUUUCACAGCUCUUUACUGGUUCCAGACCCAAGCUAUAAGGAGCCAAUUAACAAAGCAGUCAGAAAAGGGCCAUUGAUUACCAGUGGCAUGCCAGAGGCAGGGCUAGAUGCUGGUUUUAGGUAAAGUUGUGUGAAGUUCCUGCCCUGAAAGAAGGUCAGCAUUAGUGGGGACCAUCAGAGGGGAAGACAAGCAGUGGCAUGCAUAAAUAGUAAAUUCCAAAAAUGUUCUCCCAAUGAACUUGUAAAGCGGUCACCACCAGCUUGCAGUGAGGCCAGGCUGGAUUGAGUUAGAUCUUGGAAGGCUUUGGAUGCAAAGUGAAGGAAUCUGGAAUCUAUCCCUGAAAGGAUUUUUGUCCUGUUUUGGCUGGCUUUUGAGCAGGCAAGUUAUUUGAUCAAUAACAUAUUCCAGAAAGAUUAAUCUAGUGGAAGUAGGAGGAAUGGAUUAGAACUAGGGGACAAUGGAGACAGGAGGGGAGAUGAGUUAAGAAGCAAUUGCCAUAGUCUAGACAUGAGGUCAUCAGGGCAUGAACCAGUGUAGUGGUAAUGAGAAGAGAAAGGAAGAGACUAAUACAAGAGAUAUUGCCAAGGAAGAAUGGUCAGCCUUUGAUGACUGAUUAGGCAGCUGAGGGUAAUUGGGAGAGAGGGAGAGGAGAGAGGAGAGUUCACUGGGAAGAAUAAACAGACAAAAGGACAUAGGGCUGAAUUAUAAAUCUUGAGAUCUGCCAAUAUUUAGGAGAAGGGUAGGAGAAGAGAAACCAUCAAAAGAGACGUAGCAUUAGAACAAUGUUUUAUAAGGACAGUCAGAAUGCUGAGGGUGAUUGGCAAUGUCCGACUAAAGAGAGGUGAAUGAUGAUUAUACAGUGACCAGUUACAAAAGCCUCUGCUAUAAUAACUUGCCUACAUAGAAUACCUUCUUCUUUAAAAAGUAUGUCUAUGUACAUAAUAUAUGGACAUUCAUGUAAUACCAUAUUUUUAUGGAAGCUAGAUGUCUUUACUAUGUAACUAUAAGUUCAAAAGAAGUUUAAUGCCCCCAAAGGCUACCUACAUCAAAAGACCGGAGGAAAAAAAGUAGAUUUUAACAUCCAGCAUAAAUUAAGAUCUCUCUAUCAAGAAACAUCAGGGAGCUGGAAUUAAAUAAAAAUUAAGCCUGGAAACUGAGUAAUGACCCAGCUGUUCAUUAUAGUCUUAAAUUUUCAAUCAAAGAUAAAAUCUCAUUAAAAGUAUAUCUUUGAUUAGGAAACAAGUUUUGAUGGCACAAAAAAUCCUUAACGAUAUGAACCAUCUCCCCCCAUUUCCCCCACCCCUUUCCCUCUCUGUCUCUCUGUGUCUCUGUGGGUGUCUGUCUUUGUCUAUGCCUGUCUCUGUCACUCUAUCUCUGUCUCUCCCUCUCCUUCAUUCCCUCAUGCCCCCCACAAUCCUUAAUCUUCAGGAACAAAUAUAAAAGUCAUUAAUCAAAAGUAAUUGUGAUUAAAAUAGGUAAGGCUCCUUCGUUGUUUUUUUUUCUUACCAGCUACAAAAUUAAAUAGGCUACUUCAUAGCCUAUUGUAACUUUAAAUAGAAAUUACCUAAAAUGAUUGCCAUGAAAUAAUAAGUGUUAUUUCAGGGGAUUUGGCUGAGGGGACAUGGAGGAGAGGAUUUUUUAAAAAAACUAAUGUACUUCUAUAGAGACAGUUAUAAGAUACAUUUAAGUUGUACAAACUUAAGGCAUCUGGAAUUGUAUUUAUCUCAAAGUAGAUCAUCUUAAAACAAAUUCAAGUAAGUUAACCCUAGGAAGUCUAUCAUGGAUAUCAAUUUUUUAUAACAUUAUGGGAUGAAGACUUAGAAAACAGCAUUCCUCUACUCCAACCUACUCAUUAAUUUUUUUCCUUUUUUAUUUAGAAUAUUUUCCCAUGGUUACAUGAGCCAUGAUUUCCCCCCACCCUUCCCUUCCUUCUCCUCCUGGACCUGACAAGCAGUUCCACUGGGUUAUAUGCGUAUCAUUGUUCAAAACCUAUUUCCGUGUUAUUCAUAUUUGCAGUUGAAACCUACUCAUUUUACAAAGGAGAACCUUAAGAUUGGAGCAAAUUGAAAUGACUUGCCUGAGAUCACACAUGUAUUCAUCAUAGUCGUCAACAACAGCUAGCAUUUGCCCUAGCACUUUAAGGUUUGCAAUGCAAUUUACAAACAAUGCUUCAUUUUGUCCUCACAACAACCUUGGGGGCUGCUAUCAUUACCCUGUUUUAUAGAUGAGGAAACUGGGGCAGGCAGUAGUUUAAGUGUUUUACCCAGGGUCACACUGCUGGUAAAUGUCUCAGACUGGAUUUAAUUCAUGUCUUCCUGGUCCAAGUCUAGCUCUCUGUCUGCUGUGUCACCUAGUCACCUCAGUCCUACCUAUUAUUGAUAAAUGCUUCUAGAUCAACUAGGCUAGGGUUUUGUCCUCUCUUAGACUGUCAGCCCUCACAUGUGUAUGAGCCUCCACAUCUUAUCUCCUAGCAAAGUGCCCUUCCUACAGUAAAUGGUUAAUAAAUGUGUGAUGAAUGAAUGCAUGGAUGUAUACAUAGAUACCUUGGAUUGAGUUUGGCUUUAUCCUAUUCCAGAGAUUAUCCUAUUCUAUAGGCUUCAUAACGAACUCCUAUUCCUUACUUGAUGGCUUUCAAAAGUAAGUCUGUCUCUCUUUGCUUGGCUGUUAUAAACAAACCUUGUAAUUGAUAAGAGUUUAACCAUCAUUCAAGUUAAAAACAGGAGAGAAAAAAGUAUGAAAUAGAUCAGAUCACUGAAUAAUACAACCUUUGUUUAAGAAAAGGGAAUUAGUAGAGAGGAAAGGACCUACCAGUUCAAAAAUAUUCAUAGCAGCUCUUUUUGUGGUGGCAACGAACUGGAAACUAAAGGGCUGUCCCUCAAUUGGGGAAUGGCUGAACAAAUUGCGGUAUACUACUGUGCAGUAAAGAAAUGAUGAACAGGAUAAUUUCAGAAAGAGCUGGAAAGACCUUCAUGGACUGAUAUGUAGAGACAAAUAAGCAGAAUCAGGAAAACAUCGUAUGCAGCAAUAUUGUGGAAUGAUCAACUGUGACCGACUUAGCUAUGAUCGGCAAUACAAUGAACCAGGACAAUUUGGAGGGACUUAUGACAAAGAAUGCUCUCCACCUCCAGAGAAAGAACUGUUGGAGUUGGAAUGCAGAUGAAAUUUUUCAAUUGUUUAUUUGUGUUUGGAUUUUGGGGGGUUUAGUUUUAUAAAAUUAGUCACAAAAAUGAAUAAUAAGGAAAUAUGUUUUGCAUGAUAAUACAUAUGUAACCCAGAUCAAACCAUCUGCUAGCACAAAGAAUGGAAUGGAAGGGAGGGAGGGAGAUAAGUAUAAUCAUAUAACUUAGGAAAACUUGUAUGAAAAUUUGUUACUACACAUAAUUGGUAAAAAAUAAAAAUAUAUUUUAAAAA